Long non-coding RNA from Helianthus annuus (common sunflower), 290 nucleotides. RefSeq lists it as uncharacterized. Lineage: Eukaryota; Viridiplantae; Streptophyta; Magnoliopsida; Asterales; Asteraceae. The record is from RefSeq and is a predicted model, not a curated record. The transcript is spliced from 3 exons.
CGUGUAAAUCACAGGAGCCAAAAGAGCUCUCAAAAACCCAAACCCUAGCUUACAAAAUUGAUCAAAUCAAGAAGGCAAAUCAGUUCCAAAACGAAAUUCGAGCUUAGAUUGGUGAUCUCCACUGUAAGGGGAUCAUAAGGCAAGGAAACCGGGACGUCAAGCGGACAAGCCGGUGGUGAUACGCGCUUGAAGGGAGUGCUUUGAAGGAAGGUUCGGAAGCAUGACAAAGAACAUGCUAGCAAAGAACUCAAAUCAAGCGAUGACUUGAGACAACGGAGUACAUCAGGGCG